CGAGAAGGGUCACGCACAGGAUUGCGACCUCGAUUGGAACGCGCUUCCCGAAAGGGGCAUGCGCAGAGAGGUCGUAGUCGCGUCUGAGGUGGCGGGACAGGCUUCAUUGGGACAGCCCUAACCCAGCUGCUGAAUGCCAGAGGCCACGAAGUGACGUUGGUCUCCCGAAAGCCCGGGCCCGGCCGGAUCACGUGGGUAAGUCCAUCCUCUGGAAGCG
Molecule: long non-coding RNA, 217 nt
Filed under: Homo sapiens (human)
Lineage: Eukaryota; Metazoa; Chordata; Mammalia; Primates; Hominidae
Description: non-protein coding lnc-SDR39U1-1:1
Source: RNAcentral